RNAcentral lists this ribosomal RNA (497 nucleotides) under uncultured bacterium. RNAcentral describes it as "partial 16S ribosomal RNA". It matches the Rfam family "Bacterial small subunit ribosomal RNA", at positions 28 to 507 of the family's 1533-position model. The record is from RNAcentral.
GAUGAACGCUGGCGGCGCGCCUAAUACAUGCAAGUCGAGCGAACAGACGAGGAGCUUGCUCCUCUGACGUUAGCGGCGGACGGGCGAGUAACAAGUGGAUAACCUACCUAUAAGACUGGGAUAACUUCGGGAAACCGGAGCUAAUACCGGAUAAUAUAUUGAACGGCAUGGUUCAAUAGUGAAUGACGGUUUUGCUGUCACAUAUAGAUGGAUCCGCGCCGGAUUAGCUAGUUGGUAAGGUAACGGCUUACCAAGGCAACGAUGCGUAGCUGACCUGAGAGGGUGAUCAGCCACACUGGAACUGAGACACGGUCCAGACUCCUACGGGAGGCAGCAGUAGGGAAUCUUCCGCAAUGGGCGAAAGCCUGACGGAGCAACGCCGCGUGAGUGAUGAAGGUCUUCGGAUCGUAAAACUCUGUUAUUAGGGAAGAACAAAUGUGUAAGUAACUAUGCACGUCUUGACGGUACCUAAUCAGAAAGCCACGGCUAACUACGUG